AUACGGAGGAUCCGAGCGUUAUCCGGAUUUAUUGGGUUUAAAGGGUGCGUAGGCGGGCUGUUAAGCGUGAGGUGAAAGCUCGGGGCUCAACCCCGGAACUGCCUCGCGAACUGGCGGUCUUGAAUGUCCGUGCCGUGGGAGGAAUGUGUGGUGUAGCGGUGAAAUGCAUAGAGAUCACACAGAACACCGAUUGCGAAGGCAUCUGAAGAAUCCGUCACUGACGCUGAGGCACGAAAGCGUGGGGAUAGAACAGGAUUAGAUACCCUGGUAUUCCACGCCGUAAACGAUGAUGGCUAACCGUCGGCGAUAGACAGCCGGUGGCCAAGCGAAAGCGAUAAGUCAUCCACCUGGGGAGUACGUCGGCAACGAUGAAACUCAAAGGAAUUGACGGGG
Molecule: ribosomal RNA, 393 nt
Filed under: uncultured bacterium
Lineage: Bacteria
Description: partial 16S ribosomal RNA
Rfam family: Bacterial small subunit ribosomal RNA
Source: RNAcentral